RNAcentral lists this transfer RNA (78 nucleotides) under Promethearchaeati archaeon. RNAcentral describes it as "Asgard group archaeon (marine sediment metagenome) tRNA-Arg". It matches the Rfam family "tRNA". From Rfam's summary of the family: Transfer RNA (tRNA) molecules are approximately 80 nucleotides in length. Their secondary structure includes four short double-helical elements and three loops (D, anti-codon, and T loops). Further hydrogen bonds mediate the characteristic L-shaped molecular structure. tRNAs have two regions of fundamental functional importance: the anti-codon, which is responsible for specific mRNA codon recognition, and the 3' end, to which the tRNAs corresponding amino acid is attached (by aminoacyl-tRNA synthetases). tRNAs cope with the degeneracy of the genetic code in two manners: having more than one tRNA (with a specific anti-codon) for a particular amino acid; and 'wobble' base-pairing, i.e. permitting non-standard base-pairing at the 3rd anti-codon position. Lineage: Archaea; Promethearchaeati. The record is from RNAcentral.
AGGCUCGUGGCGCAGCUUGGAUAGCGCACUUGACUUCUAAUUAAGGGGUCGUGGGUUCAAAUCCCACCGGGCCUGCCA